UACAGAGGGGGCAAGCGUUGUUCGGAAUCACUGGGCGUAAAGGGCGCGUAGGCGGCCUGUUAAGUCGAACGUGAAAUCCCCGGGCUCAACCCGGGAACUGCGUCCGAUACUGGCAGGCUUGAAUUCGGGAGAGGGAUGUGGAAUUCCAGGUGUAGCGGUGAAAUGCGUAGAUAUCUGGAGGAACACCGGUGGCGAAGGCGGCAUCCUGGACCGAUAGUGACGCUGAUGCGCGAAAGCCAGGGGAGCAAACGGG
RNAcentral lists this ribosomal RNA (253 nucleotides) under uncultured bacterium. RNAcentral describes it as "partial 16S ribosomal RNA". It matches the Rfam family "Bacterial small subunit ribosomal RNA", at positions 524 to 776 of the family's 1533-position model. The record is from RNAcentral.